UCAUGAUGAUCUAUGGGUCUGGCUUCCUU
Molecule: non-coding RNA, 29 nt
Filed under: Rattus norvegicus (Norway rat)
Lineage: Eukaryota; Metazoa; Chordata; Mammalia; Rodentia; Muridae
Source: RNAcentral